RNAcentral lists this ribosomal RNA (305 nucleotides) under uncultured bacterium. RNAcentral's name for it is "bacterial SSU rRNA". It matches the Rfam family "Bacterial small subunit ribosomal RNA", at positions 335 to 638 of the family's 1533-position model. The record is from RNAcentral.
UACCUACGGGACGCAGCAGUGAGGAAUAUUGGUCAAUGGUCGGGAGACUGAACCAGCCAAGCCGCGUGAGGGAGGAAGGUACAGAGUAUCGUAAACCUCUUUUGUCAGGGAACAAAGACUGGGACGCGUCCCCGGAUGAGUGUACCUGAAGAAAAAGCAUCGGCUAACUCCGUGCCAGCAGCCGCGGUAAUACGGAGGGGGCAAGCGUUAUCCGGAUUUAUUGGGUGUAAAGGGAGCGUAGACGGCAGUGCAAGUCUGGAGUGAAAGGCGGGGGCUCAACCCCCGGCCUGCUCUGGAAACUGCAG